This 12201-nucleotide long non-coding RNA is filed under the name Glycine max (soybean). RNAcentral's name for it is "long non-coding RNA (GMAX_LNC004690)". Lineage: Eukaryota; Viridiplantae; Streptophyta; Magnoliopsida; Fabales; Fabaceae. The record is from RNAcentral.
CAAAAAAAAAAACAUCUUUCGAUAUAAUUUUCUCAUCUUUAUAGUAAGUAAAUAGAUAAUUAUAAAUAUGAUUGAACAUUUAGAAUAAAAAAGGUUAUAAGUUGUUGAUUUUCAUGUUAACUGCCCUAAUCCAUAUCCAUGUUUAUCCUAAAAGUGUUAUAAUGUGAUCCAAAAUUUUGGUAAAUUCCGAAGAAAAGAAUAUAGAAAUCAAUUAAACUACAAAUGAUCAUUUUCAUCUAAAAAUUAACAAUUUUAUCAUGCAUAACGUAAUAUAAUUUAUAAUUAAAUAAUACCAACACAAAAAUUAGAUUAUCAAUAUAUUUUAACUGAAUUUUAUAUUAUUUAUCUUACUUUUUUUCUAUUUUUUGUAUAAAAUUUGUAUAGAUUUAUAUAUAAAAAAAAAUCAUUUUUCUCUCUUCACACGUAGAAUAUAUAGGACACAAAACGAUUCAUUUAAGCGAAAUCGUGCAUUUUUAUACGAAAAAGGUCAAACAAGGACGGCUUAAAAAUAUCUAUUUGCCAUUAUAUAAGCAUUAACCAAAUAGUAUUUUGAAAAUAUAAUACGAUGAUGGCGUAUGGUUUGGUGUCGGUGUUGAAAUUAGGGCAUGGCGGUCCACCCGAACCGCACCACAUUUUAAACUUAAGGGUAAAAAAGCAUAAAUAAAUGAAAAUAGUAGAGGAUUAUUAUUAUUACUAUAAGGUUAUUUACAAGAGCAAGUUGAUUAAUGAUUAAUUGAUUAUCAUUAGCGUGGAGUUGAGCCGGGUCAAAAUCUGAAACAGCACGUUGAUUGUAUUGGUCAGGUCAGCCGCGGAAGAAAGAAAAGUGAAAAUUGAGGAAGCGAAGCGAACCAAACCAAACCACCUUUUAGCUUUUGAUUGCUUCUGUUUGUGAGAGUGUGAGUGAGCAUUUCACGCAGCACAUGUAAUAAUAACGUGACGCCAUUUUCGCUCUCCUCACGCCCAUCAGUGUGCAUGUGAAUCUCUCUCUCUCUCUGUUUUUGUAGCUUACCUUACUCACUGGCACUAGCUUGCAAACACUCUAUAACUGCAAAUAUACGCAUUCGGUUGCACAAUUUCGAGGCGAAGAAGAUCUAGUUUCGCCGAUCCAAUCCCAAAAUGAAGUCUAACAAAACCGUAAAUCCUCUCAUCACCUUCGAACACAAGAGGUAUAUUAUUCGUUAUUCACCUCCUUCCUCUCGUAUUUCCUUCCUUCCCUCUCGCUUUUAUGUUAGAUCCGUCUAUCAACACUUCAUUUUCCUCUUUCAUUUGCUUUAUGUUUUGGUCUGAAUUUCACUUGGACUACUAUGCGACUUGCCGUUGAAUUAGUGGAUUUUGAAGAUCGCUCUCUGUCCGUUGAGUUUCAGUUGACGCCGAUUGCAAGUUUUUCUUUCUUCAUUUUAAUUUUUGUUACUUAGUAGUAGUGAGUAGUGAAUAGUGAUAAUUCAGAAUCUGCGCUGCGCUGAGGCAAUCAAUGCCGAGUGCUGUGCGAAUUGCGUUUUGUGCGGAAUGUGUCGUCGUUUUAGCUUUGGGGGCGACGAUGGGCGAUUUUAGUUGCGUUUUGCUUUAAUUCGUUGUUUCGUUUCGUACUACUUGUUUGUGUGCAGUUAAUUAUUUUGAGUCUCUGUUGAUUUUUUUUUUAUCUUUUUAUUGUUGGAUUCUGUUUUUUAUUUUUGGAAAUUAAUGCGUGUUUGGUGUGAACAGGGAUGCCUAUGGGUUUACUGUGCGGCCUCAGCACCUGCAAAGAUACCGUGAAUAUGCUAACAUUUACAAGGUCCGUCUUGUCAUGCUUUGGGUUUAUGAUUCCAGCCUUGCCACUUUUUAAGUUUUUUCUGGAAGGAUUAGGAGAGUGAUGUGAAAGAAAAUUCACUUCCUGCUAAAUUGAAGAAUCUUACGAGAUUGUACUACUUGUUGGUGGAAAUUGUUUUUGUUUUCAUCCUCAAAAGCCAAAGCUAGAAGCACUUAAUUUCGUAUCGAUGGUGUUGUUCUAAGUGUAACAAGCUUUUAUUGCUAUUUCAGGAGGAAGAGGAGGAAAGGUCAGAUAGGUGGAACUCAUUUCUUGAUAGACAGGCUGAGUCUUCUGAAUUGGCCACAGACGGAUUAGUUGUGGGGGAGGGUGAGAAGGUUUUGGGUGAUGAAGCUGCAGGGCAAGAAGCUGAUACUAGCUCGGAGAAGGGUGUUGAUGGACAUGAAGCAAGCAACCAGGUGCCUGGUGGUUCUGACAGUGCAGCAGAAAAUGGUAGUCAAAAGGAGGAGGUGCCACCAGCUGAGGAGACAAAAGUUCACAGAGUCCAGUUAUGGACAGAUAUAAGAUCAUCUCUUCGAACUAUUGAGGAUAUGAUGAGUGUUCGUGUAAAGAAGAAAACUGGGUCAGUAAAAGAUGAACAGAUUAUUGAAGCUGCAAAAUCACCAUCACAUUCUGAUGAUGUGAAAUCACCAAAAGGAGCAGCAUUUGAGGAAGACUCAGAGGAGGAGUUCUAUGAUGUUGAGAGGUCAGAUCCUAGUCCGGAUAUGCCUGUUGUUGAUGGCACAAAUGCCUCAGCAAAUGGUAUUACUGCUGAUGCUGCACCACCAGAGGCUUCAUUUCCUUGGAAAGAAGAGUUGGAAGUUCUGGUUCGUGGUGGAGUACCAAUGGCAUUGAGGGGAGAGGUAUGCACUAUAUACAUGAGAUUUGCAUUUGUUGUGAAAUUUAUUUAUUGUUUGGUGAGUUACCAUCUUUUUUGUUAUUGUGUUUCAGCUUUGGCAAGCUUUUGUUGGUGUAAAAGCAAGGCGGGUGGAGAAGUAUUAUCAGGAUCUGCUAGCCUCAGAAAAUGAUUCUGAAAUUAAAACUGAUCAGCAAAGCAUGGAGUCAACUGACAGUAAUGGGAAAACAGGUGCAGAUUUUGGAUGUAUGCCAGAAAAAUGGAAAGGAGUCAAAGGACAGAUUGAGAAGGUAUAUGCUUUUGAUAUUUCACCCUUAUUGUUCUUAAUACUGUGAUAUUAUUGGUAUGACUCUUUAAACAAGUUUCUUCUUAGUAGUCCAUUAUCAUUGCUUGUUUGCGCAGGAUCUGCCUCGAACAUUUCCUGGUCAUCCUGCUCUGGACGAGGAUGGUAGAAAUGCUUUGAGACGAUUACUUACUGCAUAUGCUCGACAUAACCCCUCAGUUGGUUACUGCCAGGUCCUUGCUUCUUUAAAGAGUUACAUGUUCUAUUUUUCCCAUUUUUUUUAUUAUAAAAGCUGUUUUUUCCAUUAUUUUUCAGUCAAUCUAAAUGAGGUGUUUAUAUUUAUAUGAAAUGAAACAUCUAUACAUCUGACUAGACUUAAAGGACUUGGUUCAUACUGAACUUGUUAGUUAAUGAGAUACCACAGUGCAACGAAUCAACAACUACAGACAUUUAUGUUGCCUUAUUUGUACUAGUUUUUUUUCCUUCCAAAAUAAAAAUUGGGGACUUGAAUUUCAUCACUUUUAAAUGAUGAGUCAAGGAAUCCAAUGGCAAUUGAUAUGACAAAUUUUAAAAAUCUUGCAAAGCUAAAUUUCCCACCUACUUACCCUUUACUAAUAUCUGAUGUAAAAUAUUUAUAUUUAUAUAUAUGAAUUCUAGAAAAUGAAACUUUUGGCUAGUCAUUAACCUUGCACUAUUUUACUUCCACAAAAUAUAUUAUUGAUCUUUGUUAAGGUAGUUUUGGACUUUGGAGCAAUGUUUCUCCAGGUUUGUGCUUGAUAGUAUAAUGAGUUGAAGAUGAUCUGUGUCACUGUGGUAUAGAAACAGUGUAUUUGAUAUCCAUAACACAAACUACAAACCUAUUGUGAAAGAUCUUUGAGCUUGAAAUGUGUUCCAAGCACAAUAGGAAUGGUUCAUAUAUGUGCAUCCUCUCACUCAAGCAUUUUGUUGAAAUUGUAAAUUGAUUAGAUGAAUUGGGAACUACUUUGUGACAAACCUCAAUCAGGCAAGAGCUGUUUUUGAGGUUGCAUGACCGACUGAAGGUGCAUAGGGCCCUAAUGCCUUGUGGCAACUUUCAUAUGUGUGAUGUGUAUGAUUCAUAAAUAGUAGUGAUCUGUCCUUUUUUUCUAAUCAUGGUAUUGAUACGAAGAGUAGUGAUCUGUCAUAUAACAUGGAUAAUUAAUUAAUUUAAGUUUGUCAUUUAUCAUAUGCCCUCUCACAUGGACAUAUCAUGUAUGUUCAUGAAAUCUACAACCCACUGAUUUAGCUUGUUGAAAUAAUUUAUAUUGCAGGCCAUGAAUUUUUUUGCUGGCUUAUUGCUACUUUUGAUGCCUGAAGAAAAUGCCUUUUGGUAUGUCCUUAGAUAACUGCUUGAGUAUUAUUUCUAGAGUAUAUGCACUUUUCAAAGUAAAUUAUGGAUAGAGCAUCAUCGUUAUAACUGCUGCUGUGUUUGAUUAACAUUGUUUCCCUGAAGGAAUGCCUGACUGAUUGCUUUAUGCUUAUGCAGCAUCUUCAGCAGCUUUUACAUUUUAAAUUUGAACUAAUUUGAUAUUCCAUCACUAACUAUGGUUUUUCCCAGGACCUUAAUGGGCAUUUUAGAUGAUUAUUUUGAUGGCUAUUAUUCAGAGGAAAUGAUAGAGUCUCAGGUAUGGUUUCUUUACUUCAUAUUAUCAAUUAAAUUAAAUGUGCAUGAAUAACUUUUACAUUUUGACAUAUAUUCAUUCAAAUAUAUUAUCAUUUUAUCAGGUGGAUCAACUUGUUUUUGAGGAGUUGGUGAGGGAGAGGUUUCCCAAAUUGGGUUUGUAAACUAUUUUAAUUCAUUUUUGUCUUUGAACUCACAAAGUGAAUUUUGUUUCUAGCAUUCCAUUUCUUAUUUGUUAUUUAAUUGUGUAUACUUAUUUUGCAGCCAAUCAUCUGGAUUAUCUGGGAGUGCAGGUGGCAUGGGUUACUGGACCAUGGUUCCUGUCCAUUUUUGUGAACAUGCUUCCUUGGGAAAGUGGUCAGGUUUUAUGUUCUAUCUAUUGAGUAGCGUAGCUUAGUAUUGCUUCACAAAGUUGCCAAUGUCAAAUGAGCAUUUGUACACUAUUGUUCGAGCUUCCUUCUGAUCUAUUGUAAUUAUUUGGACUUCAGUUCUUCGAGUGUGGGAUGUGCUUCUUUUUGAAGGAAACCGAGUCAUGCUCUUUAGAACUGCAGUUGCUUUAAUGGAGCUAUAUGGUACUGGCUGAAAAUGUUUAAUGGAAAAAGUAAACUAGCAAUGCUUAAGCCAUGCAUAUGCUCACAGAACUUAAUUUCAUCAUGUCUUGUAGGUCCUGCGUUGGUAACAACAAAGGAUGCUGGAGAUGCAGUUACUUUACUUCAGUCGUUGGCUGGCUCCACAUUUGAUAGCAGUCAGCUUGUACUGACAGCUUGCAUGGGUUACCAAAAUAUAAAUGAAACUCGUUUGCAGCAGUUGAGGAAUAAACAUCGGCCAGCUGUAAUAGCUUCCAUUGAAGAAAGAUCAAAAGGGCUUAAAGCUUGGAAGGAUUCUCAGGGACUAGCAUCAAAGCUAGCUGAUAUGCAAGUGCUUGGCAAUUUAUCUCGUACAGAAUCUGGUUCCACUAAUGCAGAUGAAAUUCUGAUUAGUCUGACUGGAGAGGGUGAGAUAGAUGCUGUUCCAGAUCUUCAAGAGCAGGUCAAUUUUGUCUUUCCUUUUGGCCCUUCUCACUUUUUAUUUGAUUGUGAUAUAGUUGAUGGUGCAUUUUAUUGCUAUCUUUUCACAUAUAUAACAUUCUCAAAUUACUAAGACUGAAGUUAAAAAAAUCCAUGUUUUAUAAAGUCAUAAUUAGUUUUGGCUACUCACUAAUGAUUGUGUUAAAAUAGGAGGAAACAGAGGAAAAUUGAAUGAAAACUGUGUGUUUAAGAACACCAUGAAUGUUGUAUUAUAUAGAUGUCAUUAUAAUAAAUACUAAUAAUGACAAUAAUGACACAGGAUAUUUUGUUUCCUCAAAAUCAGAUUCUACUUUCCUAUAAAUCCUACUUUCCUACUAAUAAUAAAUGUAUAUUAUUUUAUCCUCAUUUUCAACAGAUUGCAUUUAUCUUAAAAUGAACCCUUAACCUCAACAUGAUUAAUUUAAUUCACGUGUGGUUGACAGGUUAUUGAGGACUAUUGUCCUGAAUUGGUCCUUAGGCUCAAUUUACCUUCAUAACAUUUGCAGAUUUUCCAUUUCAAUUAUGUUUUUGGUAUAUAUUACUAAUUCAAUGCAUGCACAUUUUAUCAGAGUUGAGCAGAGUUUUGGUACAACAUUGUUAAAGCUAUGUUUUGAUAUGGUUGUUGAUUUUGUUUUACUUUAUAAGACCCACUUGAGUUAUUUAAUUAUCACCAUAUCUCAUUUUUUGUAAAUCUAAGCUGAGCAACUAAUUACAAAAUGGCAUUGUUCUUACGUUGUGAACUCCAUGCAGGUUGUCUGUUUGAAGGUUGAACUUUGUAGACUACUAGAGGAGAAAAGAUCAGCCAUUCUUAGGUACUUAAAAAUCUGACUUCUCUUGCAGUCGUGCAACUUCUUUUCUUUUCCCCCUAACCUACUCUAAAACCUUAAUCAUAUGCCCAGUUCCAUAAAGCAUUGGUUAUGAUAUAUAAUUAUAGACUUGAGUACUUCUGUCUAUGAGAAGUUUAAAUUUGUAACUUCAGAGUAUUUCGAAUUAUUCUCCUUUUGUUUUUUUUUUCUUUUUUAACCUUAAAUUACAUGACAUUGUAUAAUGUGUGUAUGUAUGUAAGUGGAGAGAGAAGUUUCCCCUGAAAAUUGAGAGAUUCACUUUUUUGCACAUAGCAUUUAUUCCUUUCAAUUUCCUCUUUUUAUCAGAGCGGAGGAGCUGGAAACAGCAUUAAUGGAAAUGGUCAAGCAGGAUAAUAGGCGGCAACUGAGUGCCAAGGUAAGUCAUGAGCGCACAUGGUUCUCCACUUCUCUGAAAGUUCUUAUCACACAUUUGUAUGGGAUACGGAUACUUGUAUUUUACUUCUACAUCCAUUUUUUUUUUGGCAAAUUCCUUUUCUGGGAUACUCUCUGCUUUCAAAGUACUACUUGAAUAUUCCAGGAUGCAGAUUCAGGUCCAUGAUACACAGACAGGAAGUUCUAUGAUGUUUAUAUAAUUGAAGUAGUAUUUAUGUGAAAGUUAAUUAGAUGAGAAUAGGAAGUGUUAUUUAAACCAGCCCAGCUCGGCUGGUCAAACCACCGGAAACCAGUAGUAUGGCCAGUCAAGUUUUUGGAUCAUUUAUGUAUUUAAUCCAGUGAGAACCGGUUAACUCAGCACUAAGUAGUAAAACCAGUGAAAAUUCGUCCACCUGACUCGGAAGGUUUUCAAAUUUACAGCUUCCAAUGUGCAUCAUAUAUAUUUACAGCAGAGUGCCAUCAUCAUCAUGUCUUCUCUACAAUCUUCUGAAUGGUGUGAUUCAUAUCGUUGAUAUAGAAUUACAGAUUCAUCUAUAUAUCACACAAUUCAAAGUCAUCUACAAAUCAUUUCGUGAUAUAGAAUUGCGCGUAUGGAAUCAUGUGAUUCGAAUUGCGAAUCAAAAGCCUCUAACAGCUAUAGAUUAGAUGUCCUGUAGACUAGGUUCUAAUUUGUUAUUUGAGAUGUUAAAGCACGUAAUUCUUAUCAUCUUCAGGUAGAGCAACUAGAUGAAGAGGUUGCUCAGCUUCGACAGGCACUUGCUGAUAAACAAGAACAAGAAACUGCUAUGCUUCAGGUCUCAUUUUGUCUGUUUGUAUUCAUUCUCGGGUUAACAUAUGUUUUCUCUUGUGUGAUGUGAGUUUUUGUUGCUGAUAGGUCUUGAUGCGGGUGGAGCAAGAGCAAAAGGUGACUGAGGAUGCUCGUAGGUUUGCUGAGCAAGAUGCAGCCGCACAAAGAUAUGCUGCGCAAGUCCUUCAGGUUACCUUUUUUCCUUUUUUUCACCUUGUAUUGCUCUUGUAUGUUGGUUAAUAUCUGUCACAUAUACAAGAUAAUCAUGUUAAAAAAGCAUCGUUGUUUUUCAGAAAGGUGAUCCUGAUUUGGGCAUCAUUGUAUUAUAGUGGCUGAUAUAUUUUGUAGCAUCUUAGACAUGAUUAUUCAUUAUUCUGUCGUAGGCUAUACUUGAAUGCCAUUUAGAAUUUAGCCCCGGAUAAUGAUAGAUUAUGUUUGUUUCACAGUUAUUUUAGGGGUGGGGGGAUUGUGGUGAUUGCACUAUGCUCAACAGUCUAAUUAGCAUUCUUUGAUUUCAGCAAAGUUGCCUCGUCUUGUGCCUAUUUUCAAUGCAAUAAUAUUAAAGUAUUUAUAAAUCUCUUUGCCUAUCCCCCAAAAAAAAUCUCUAUGCUUAAUUGCUUAUCCAUAUGUCAAGUCCAUGUCAAUGCCUUUUUAUACUGCUAUAUUAUAUUUCGACUGGUACAAUGGUGAAUUUUUCUAUUGCAAUAUCUUACAAUCAUACAUAUUAUAUUGGCAGGAAAAGUAUGAAGAAGCAACUGCUGCACUUGCUGAAAUGGAGAAGAGGGCAGUUAUGGCAGAAUCUAUGCUGGAGGCUACAUUGCAGUACCAAUCUGGCCAAGUUAAAGUGCUACAAUCUCCACGGUAUAUAAGUUUUUGAAAUAUCCCUGUAGUCUUUACAGCAUGUGUGCACCUACAAUUUUUUUUUCCGGUAGGGUUUUCAAUUUAAUAUUUUUAUUUUCAAAGUUUUUGUAACGAACAUCUGUUGUGAUUUUGACAUACAUAUCGUUAACAUUUGGUUUCUGGUGGUGAUUCUUGAAGCACCACUGUAAUGGUUGAACCUCCCCCAACUGCCAAAACUUUAGUGGAAAGGAAAUGAACAUAACUGCUUGACUUAAUGUCUUCUUGAUUUACAGAUCUUCACAGUCAGAUUCUCCGGUAUCGAGAAACAAUCAAGAGCCGGAUAUCCCUGCUAGGAGGAUAAGUUUGCUUUCUCGUCCAUUUGGACUUGGAUGGCGAGAUCGAAACAAGGUUAGCUUUAACAGCCAUUCCAAAAGGUUCAAUGUUUUAUCAAUAUUACACUUGCAUGAUUACUUUUUUUGUGGUUGAUAACUUGAAUCUGUUGUCUGCAAUAGGGGAAACCCACUAAUGAAGAGCCAGCUGAGGGAAAUCCCAGCGUUGAGGAACAAAAUACGAUCAGUGAACAAGACGUCAAUGGCCUUAAAGUACAGGAUGAGAGUAGAAAAGAAGUCAGUGCCUAGAUUUUCUUUAUAUCCUACUCAAGACAAUUUGACGAGCAAGAAGUUAGUUUCUUCUUCCUUGUCUGUAAUUUUUGUUUAGGGUGAACAUAUAAUUUCAUAUUCAUUAAUUGUUUGUUCUUUAUUAUGUAAUAGAAUAAUAGUAAUUGGAAAGUAAGUGAACGGUCGAGGUCAACUGUAAUACAUCUCUCGUUUAUUUAUAGUAGAAACUUUCUUGUGUGCGUGCGUGUGGAGGAACCUUGUGGAUUCUAUGGUUUUAGAAUAAACUUUAAGAUGGUGACAGAAACAAAGUAUGUUUGGAUGGGGUACCAAACGAAAUCGGCGUGGUGGAAAAUAAUUUAUAUGCAUUGGUAGUGUAAAUUUUUUUACAUUAAUAAUCAAUCAUAAAUUAUAAUAGGUAAAAAAUUUAGGAUAGAUUUUGUAAUAUAAUUCCUUGAAAUACAGAAUGAAACAUCAAUUUUUAUGAACAGGUUCUCUCAAAUUGAAAGACUCCGGAAGAUUUUAAACGCCCAAAUGAAGAGUGGAAAACUAUUACUUGCCAAAAUAGAAUUGAAGCAUUUAAUAAACCACAACUUGAAAUGGAAGCUGAACAAGUAGUACGUCCAUGUUAUGUUUAUAUUUAGUUUGCAUUGUCGUACAGUUAAAUACCCAAUUGAACACAAAUUUAAAAUUGUCACUCGCAAAGGUUUCGUCUAUUCUUCUAAACAAUCACAUAUGUACUAGGUCACCUCAAUGCAUCGGUACGAACAUGUACGAAAAGAAUACUGUUGUUUCCCCGGCUAACUCUGAGCUUCUCGUCACUGUAUCUGCAAAGGAAAACUCAACUAGUGAGGGAUAUUAGAGAGAUGCCAAAUAUUUUUAUUUGAUUUCUUAUUAGUUUUUAAUCAAUUCUUAACGAAUACAAAUGAGGGAAGAUGUGAAAAUGAAAGAAAAAAAACAUUAAUAGAAAACUAAAAUUAAAAAACUUACGAAUGGUUUGGUUCAAAAGAGAUUAGGGAUUUUAAUGGAAGGGAAUUUUAAUUAGAUAUUAUGUUUGGUUAAGAAAAGGGGAGGUAAGGUAGUCAUUUUCUUGUUUGAUAAGGGAAGGCAAGGAAUUUUAAAAGUAAAUUUACUUUUGUAUUUUUAUAAUUUUAAAUUUUAAAACAUAAGUAAAAAUAUUUUAGUCAGUUCAAUUCAAAUAUUUUAAAUUCUUUUUCCCUUCCUUCGAAAUUCUCAGAAUAUUAGGGGAGCAAAAAUUAGAUAAAGAGGAAUUUAGUUCUCUCCAUUCCCCUCCACUCAAAAUUUCACCAAACAUAUUCUUAAAAAGUGAAUUCAAUGCAUAUAUUGGAUUGAUUAAGAGAGAAUAUGAUGUCAUCUUACAGAAGCUCCAAUAUGAAGUUGUUUUUCAGUUCUAAGGGAUAUCCGAAUGGGCCACCAAUUAUGGCUGCAUCAUCCAUUGUAACGCCAUACACUCCGGAGCCAGUUUUUCUGUCAAAUUUGAGGCAAAAUAUCAUGAACAUUCAGUGGGGUUCGUAUUUUCAAACAGAAAAUUCAAGGAGCACGUAUAGAGAUAAAUAGAUAGAUGGAUCAACGUUGCUUUUCUAAUCUGUGCCCAUCAAGUUAUCCGUUGUCAGUUGUCACUAUAACUCACUCCUAUCCAGGCAACUGUGGUUUACUCAACAGAUUAUCAUAUACAGUUACAUACCUACUUACCUGGCAAACUACGACUUGGUAAAAUACAACCUAUAUUUUUGGAGGGAUUUUACAUACAGUUGCAGCCUUUCUUUAUUUCAUCAAUGCAAAUACCGUGAUUGUUUCAUCAGCAGGAUCCUUUCCAGUGUCAUUUGAUCUUCGCCUCAUGUUAUUCCUUUCUUCAAAUCAAUUUCUAGAAUCUCUUUCCUAAAUACUCGUUCACAAACUAAUGCCAAAAAUGUGACAAACACGUUGGAUAGAUUUGAAAUUCUUCCUCGGCCAUCAUUCAGGACAUCUUUGUGAUUCUCUUAGCCACUAAUCCAAAUGAUCAACCCCCUCUUUUGCUAUCAAUAAACUUUGAUUUUCCAAUAAGUUGAAUCAUGAUUACCUGUAGCUUUUUAAGGGCAACACAUAGGUGCAGUUCUUUAAAUACUUUUAGUGUUAUUUAGAGUUUCAUCUCAGAAUCGGUGCUGAUCUUAAUGUCCAUUUCAAUUUGAGAACAGUAUAAAAAAUAUUUAAAGAACUGCACCUAAAUUUUGUCCUCUUUAAAUAAGUCAACCAUUUCAAUUAAAGAAUCUCCCUUCCGUGCAAAGAGGCCAAAUUAUCGAUAUGACCUAUGAGAAAAGCAAUUAAUUCAUGACCUAUAAAAUAGCUGACAUAUCAAGACCUAAAUUUUGUCCUCUUUAAAUAAGUCAACCAUUUCAAUUAAAGAAUCUCCCUUCCGUGCAAAGAGGAAGUUUUUUAAAGCAAAACUGGUCUUAGGAUGUUAUUGACAUAUAAAAUAGCUGACAUAUCAAGAUAUAUGUCAAUAACAUCCUAAGACCAGAACCCCUACCCUAACUUUAACCAUGCCCUUAAAUAUCAAAGCUACACACUUCAUAAAAGAUACUUUGUCUCAGCCGCUUAGUUCAGGCAACCCAUGGCGACACCCUAAACAACCUCUCAUUGUAAAACUAAAUAUUUAGUCAUUCUACACAUUCCCAUUGAUGCCCCCGCAGAAAUUCUCCUACUUAUAAAUACCCUGUCUUAAAGUUAGAGCUUUGGCAAAGAAUUCCAAGCAUACAUUAAGCAUUGCCUAGCAUACUUACCCAGGUUCUGAUAUUACUUCUACUCAAUCUCAAUUCCUGAGAUUCCCUUAAAAUUCCUUUACCUUGAAGCCUUAACACAUUUUUAGAACAUGUACUCUCUGGAGGUGACAGAUGCGUGCCCUUGGGCUUUAAUAUCUUUGUCCAAGGCCGAAGACCCACCUUCCUCUUUGUUCACAUAUUCUAGAUCUAUCCCCUUAAUUAUCCAAAGGUUCUCCACUAUUUGUCUACAGAGAGGUUGGUCCCUUCAUUGCCACUAAAUGCCUGCCUUCCUAUUUCCUUUGUUUUGAUGACCCUCUCAUGAACAUCAGUAGUAACAUGAAACAAUGGAAACUUAC